Mycena epipterygia is the source of this 97-nucleotide non-coding RNA. NCBI's taxonomy places the organism in Eukaryota, Fungi, Basidiomycota, Agaricomycetes, Agaricales, Mycenaceae. The record is from the annotation of a GenBank genome assembly.
GCGGACGUGGUGCACGGCGCACCGCUGCUUUCAAUAAUCCAGAUAUCUAUAAUGGCCAUUUGAGCAGCCAGCCGGGGUUCGAUUCCCCGCGUCCGCA